CGUGGGGAGCUUACCAUGCAAGUCGAACGGUCUCUUCGGAGAUAGUGGCGGACGGGUGAGUAACGCGUGAGAAUCUAGCUUCAGGUCGGGGACAACCACUGGAAACGGUGGCUAAUACCGGAUGUGCCGAAAGGUGAAAGAUUUAUUGCCUGAAGAUGAGCUCGCGUCUGAUUAGCUAGUUGGUGUGGUAAGAGCGCACCAAGGCGACGAUCAGUAGCUGGUCUGAGAGGAUGAUCAGCCACACUGGGACUGAGACACGGCCCAGACUCCUACGGGAGGCAGCAGUGGGGAAUUUUCCGCAAUGGGCGAAAGCCUGACGGAGCAAUACCGCGUGAGGGAGGAAGGCUCUUGGGUUGUAAACCUCUUUUCUCAGGGAAUAAAAAAAUGAAGGUACCUGAGGAAUAAGCAUCGGCUAACUCCGUGCCAGCAGCCGCGGUAAUACGGAGGAUGCAAGCGUUAUCCGGAAUGAUUGGGCGUAAAGCGUCCGCAGGUGGCACUGUAAGUCUGCUGUUAAAGAGCAAGGCUCAACCUUGUAAAGGCAGUGGAAACUACAGAGCUAGAGUACGUUCGGGGCAGAGGGAAUUCCCUGGUGUAGCGGUGAAAUGCGUAGAUAAAUACCU
Molecule: ribosomal RNA, 620 nt
Filed under: Trichormus sp. MACC 264
Lineage: Bacteria; Bacillati; Cyanobacteriota; Cyanophyceae; Nostocales; Nostocaceae
Description: bacterial SSU rRNA
Rfam family: Bacterial small subunit ribosomal RNA
Source: RNAcentral